AGACUUUGACUAGAACUGGUCGUAGAGAACAAAACCCUCAUUUCUCCACUCCCUCUCCUUCACUAGGCUGUCCUCUCUCUCCCUCUCUAGCCAUAAGUAGGUGAAAAGCAAAGACUCCCUCUUUAUCUCUCUCGCAGAUUACAGGUUACCAUAUUACUACACAACCACUACUGUUGCCCUCUACCUAAUCCAAUACCUAAAGCCACAUUCAACAAUAAAAUAAAAUUUCCAUAAACGAAUAAAGAAGCUACCUAAGCGAGAAAGUGAAAGAAAAAUGAACGGAAAGUGAGAGAAAAUAAGAACAAAUUCAGUUAUUACUCAUUCAUUUGCCAAUUUAUGAAGAUGCUGUGGUAGCUCUGCUUUGCUUCCUCUUCUUUCUUCUUUUUUACUGUUUAGUUAUCAAAUCAAAAACCCUAAAUACAUUUCACCCACUUUCUAGAUCUUGAACCGAUUGUUAAGUCUUGAGUUACCUUUCCGAUCUAGUAAAUCACUGUCGAUGUGAAACUCGGCUCCGGCGAGUUGAGCUAAUGGAGGACUCAGGCGAUUCAGUUUGUUGAAAUGUUAAGCAUUUUGAAUUAUUGUAGUAGUAUUUUGGUUGAGCCAAGUUCCAAUGUCGGCUUCUUUAGCGGCUUUCGAGCGGCCAGUUGCUUGUGAAAUACUUAUUUAUUUACUGUAAACAAAGAUAAUAUUAGAAAAACACCAUAUAUUAUUUCUUAAAAUAUACAAAACGACUUAUAUUUUGACACAAAAUAACAAAUCAAAAACUACUUAUAUUUUGGGAUAGGGAGAGUAUUAUUAUCACCCUCUUUAAUCAAUAUUAUCGCCACCAACACUAUUUACUAAAAUAAAUUAUCAUUUUUUAUUUAAUAAUAAAUUUUUAAACAUAAAUUUUCAAUAUUUAAUUUUUAAUGUUUCAACUCAAGAACAAAAAUUAAUUAUUUUAAAAAUAUUUUCUUAAAAUUCUUAAAAAUAUUACUCAAUAAAAUUCAUUGGAAUAAUGAGCGAAGUAUUAAUUUUUUUUUAAAAAAGUUGACCAAAUAUUGAAUUUUUAAUUUCACGUAUAAGAUAAUUUAAAUUCCACUUCUAGAUAUUAGUAAUUUCAUUUUUUCUCCAAUUCUGAAAUCAAUAAGCUGAACCGCUCAACGAAGGCGUGGCAGAUUUUAAUACGAUAUGACCAGACUUUGACUAGAACUGGUCGUAGAGAACAAAACCCUCAUUUCUCCACUCCCUCUCCUUCACUAGGCUGUCCUCUCUCUCCCUCUCUAGCCAUAAGUAGGUGAAAAGCAAAGACUCCCUCUUUAUCUCUCUCGCAGAUUACAGGUUACCAUAUUACUACACAACCACUACUGUUGCCCUCUACCUAAUCCAAUACCUAAAGCCACAUUCAACAAUAAAAUAAAAUUUCCAUAAACGAAUAAAGAAGCUACCUAAGCGAGAAAGUGAAAGAAAAAUGAACGGAAAGUGAGAGAAAAUAAGAACAAAUUCAGUUAUUACUCAUUCAUUUGCCAAUUUAUGAAGAUGCUGUGGUAGCUCUGCUUUGCUUCCUCUUCUUUCUUCUUUUUUACUGUUUAGUUAUCAAAUCAAAAACCCUAAAUACAUUUCACCCACUUUCUAGAUCUUGAACCGAUUGUUAAGUCUUGAGUUACCUUUCCGAUCUAGUAAAUCACUGUCGAUGUGAAACUCGGCUCCGGCGAGUUGAGCUAAUGGAGGACUCAGGCGAUUCAGUUUGUUGAAAUGUUAAGCAUUUUGAAUUAUUGUAGUAGUAUUUUGGUUGAGCCAAGUUCCAAUGUCGGCU
RNAcentral lists this long non-coding RNA (1795 nucleotides) under Jatropha curcas. Its description in RNAcentral is "long non-coding RNA (JCUR_LNC000635)". Lineage: Eukaryota; Viridiplantae; Streptophyta; Magnoliopsida; Malpighiales; Euphorbiaceae. The record is from RNAcentral.